AUAUUUUGAAGAUGACUUUGAGGUUUUUGGAGAGAAAGAGUUGCAGGUUGUUGGAGGGAGCGGGGGAUAGCUUGAGGAGGAGACCAGCUGGAAAAAGGGAGAAAAAAAAUGGGGUUUUACAGAGGAGCUGAAGAGGAGAAGAGGAGGUUUUCUUUUUCUAGGAUUCAGGGGUUUUGAGUGAGAGUUGAGAAAAUGUGUGAAAUAGAAAGAGUGAAUCAGUAGAGAGGGGAUUUUAACUUUAGUGAGGGCCAUUCUAGAGAGAGUUAGAGAGGAGAAAGGGGCAUUUGGAGCAGCAAAGACAAGAAGCAAAAGAGAGUAGCAAGGGAGGAGAAGUAGAGAAUCAACUCGCCAUUCUUUUUCUCGUUUGGGUAUGAUUACAACUUAUUUUACAUUUCCCAUUUUAGAUUGUUCUCCUUUGUUUCCUAUUGGUUUUAGGUUGAUCUUGGUGCUUGAAUGUGGACAUUUGAUAUUGUGCAUAUUUGUGAAAUCUAAGACCGAUUUUUAUGCAUUUUUGUUGAUUCUAGUAUGGCUCAUUAGGCCGUUUGUAAAUAACUUGUGCAGUCCUCUGUUCAUGAACAACUUGACUAUGGAUCCAUCAUUGAAUCUGAUUUUUAAAGAUCAUGCUCUUUCUUCCUUUUGAUUCCACCUAUAUCCAGCCCAUUGACAUUUAUGAAAUGGAGCUAGAUUUAAUCGUGUUAUUUCCGUUUGUGCAUGCUCUAUUUCUAUUUUUACUUUCUUCUUUGUUUUGGCCAUGUUUGGAGUGUUGGGUAUCACGUUUGGGCUGGCCAUCUUGGUCGGGGUGCUUCUGAGCAAGCUCAAAUCAGUCUAAUAGAUUUAGCUAUGGAAGAAGUCAAGGAUUGGAGCUCUAUUGAAGCAGUCUGCUACAGCUUGAUAUUGUUUGGUCUUUUGAAGAAACGUUCAUUGUUUUAUCCAACAUUAGGGUCUUUGGUAGACAUUGUUCUAUUGUCUAUUUGGUGAGCUAAUGGUUAUCAAGCCAAGGAAGACAUGAAAGAGGCCUGCUAAUAGCAAGAUAUGACAUCGUUUCUCUUAACGAUGAUGAGUUAAAUGAAGAAAAUUAUUCUGAUGUCAUUUCCAUUGAUCAGAUGUUGGAAGAGGACUUUCUCCAAGUUGGUGGUUGAAAACGUCUUUUUCAAGUAUCCGAAUUCUUUGUAGAGGAGGAACUCCAAGACAUGCUAAAUUGCUAAGGUGCUUAGUGAAUGUUCCAUGCUUAUAUGAUACCUAGACACCCGGUUACAGCUUCUGAUGACCUAUACCAGUGGAUAAAUCGGAUUCACCAUUGUUUACUCUAGAGUUAAGUCUCGGGAAGGGUUGGAAAAGUAUGAAUGGUGUUGGAGUGGUUGGAAAUGUAGUUGAUACUAUAGCUAGAGGAUGUGAAAGAGAUGGCCAUCUCUUCCUCCUUAUUAGCUAAAGCUGAGAGUGAUUCAUUUCUUCGCGGGAUUGAUUCCACCACUGGUGGUUUUGAAGCUGAUAUCUCCAAGGGUGGACCAACCCGUGGGUAUGUACAUUCUUGUUUUUACUCUUGGUGCGAAGUAGAUAAUUUGCCACUAAAAUGAGACAGACGACACGACACCAAUGUGCUCUAAGAUAGUGCUUCACAGGUGACAAUAUGAUAGAAAGGCCUACCAACCUUGACUAGUAUAAAGGCCCGACUCUUCUUGAGGACCUAGACAUGAUCAAUAAGCCCAAGAGGCCCUUAGACAAGCCACCGUAUCUUCCUUUAUAGGAUGUGUAUGAGAUUGGUGGGAUUGGAACUGUCUUAGUGGGACGUGUAGAAGCUGGUGCCCUGAAGUCCAGUAUGGUGGUGACUUUUGGCCUAUCUAAACUGAUAGCUAAAUUUAGGCCCAAUGAGACAUGCCUUCAGUCACUCCUAGAGGCUAUGCUUAGUGACAAAUUAAGCUUCAACAUGAAAAUUGUUGUUGUGAAUGAUCUAAAAUGUGGUUUUGUUGCAUCUAGAUCCAAAUAUUGAUCCUAUAAAGGAAACUACCAGUUUCACCACCCAGAUCAUCAUCAUGGACUACCCUAGUCAGAUCAUAAAUGGUUAUGCUCCUAUUCUUGGUUGCAACUUCGUCUACCACUCACAUCCCCAAUCCACCAUACCUAUCAUCAUACCCAUAUCUUCAUCUUUGAUACCCACUUCUCUCACUACCUCCUCCACUCAUUCUACCACCAAACCCAAUUAUCUCAAUACCUCCCUCACUCAUUCUUCCAUUCAUUUCCCUAUAAGUUUCUUUUCCUAGUCUUUCCCAGACGCAUGCAUGGCCACCCUUAGAUACCUCAUUUUCCAAACCCAUUUAUUUCAAUUACUCCCACAUACCUUUCUACUCAUCCCCUAUGCGCAAGCAACUUUUGCAUUGCACAACCAUCCUCGAUGGUCUCCACGCAAUCAUCCACCUAUAUCCAACCUUCUACCUGAUCUCCUUGUCACAUUUCCCAUUCUCCUAUCUGCAUGGUACGCAUGAUAUUUUCUAGCAUUCGCAGAAAUUAAUGGAGGACGUGAGGAAACCUUGGCACUGUUUAGGAAGAAGCAAGAGUUGGAAAUCCAUUAGAAGUUGAUGAGCUUGCAUACAUGUCAAAGACGUAGUACGUGGUCCUGACCAUGCUACAAAUAUUAGAAACUUGAGGAUGAAUAGAGGAAUGACUCAGGUGAAAGCAAAACACAUGGAUAGAUACAACUUUAAAGAAGCUGAACUGAGCAACCUGAACAAGGAUCAGGCCUUUGAAUCUGGUGGUUCUGAAGGAGAAGACAUCCCUAGAGUUAGUAGUAAUUAGUGAAGAUGGGACUGUACAAUAUGUUUGAGUAAGGUGUAUUUGACACAAUUAAAGAUCUUGUUGUUCCAUGUCGGAAUGAAAGACUCUACUAUAAAAAAGACCGCAAGGUUGUAGGAAAGAGAAGAGAAGCUACCGCCUUGUUUUAUCUCUGACGACUUGCUCAGUUCCUCCAAUCCUUUGCACAAGCUCGUUGAAUCUGUGACUCCGCUCCAUUUUCUCACGUGGCUCUCAUGCCAAAUGUAGCCUCGUUGCCAGGGUUAGUGAAACUCCACUGGUUGGGAAUAUGACACCAGGUUUUGAGAUAGAAGCUAUUUUUUUUUUUAUCAGGAAUUCAUCAAGGUUAAACUUUCAGAGUAUAUUGGGAAGAAAUAUGUGUAUUCUUACAUCUCGCAUGGGUCUAAACGGAUAGAAAGUCAUGGCCUUGGAGAUCUCAGGUGACUCUUCAUCAUUGGCAAGGGAAGAAUUAUCAUGCAAUCCCACUUCGGCCACUCCUCGAACCCCAUGCUACCAUCCAUCUGUAUCCAAACCUUUACCAGAUCACCUUUGUCGGCCCCACAUGCAGACUGUGCAAGUCUAUGGUUUGAGUUUGAGGCAAAUUUUUUCUAAAUUUGAUGAUUCUAAUUCAGAGAAAGGUCUCCCAACCAAUUCUGAGGAUGGUAAAGUAGACACAGUUGCACCCCGGGCCCACAUGCAUGACCUCAUUCCAUGGCCACCAUCCUAGGCCCAUUUUCAAAGUCCACGCGCUUCUUUUCUUUACCUUCAAAACUGAUUUUCGAAAAUCCAAUUUUCAAAUAAUUUAACUCACUACUUUUCAUUCUUCUUUAGUGUUUAGGAUCACCAAAAAUCCAUUUUUUCAAUAAAAUUUGCUGCCAUUUUCUUUCCGGCAAACAUCAUUUCACAUUUUUCUUGAUUUUUUUAAAUGUUUUGAAAUAAGCAUGAAUUUAAUUCUAUAAUUCCAAAUAAAGGAAUUUAUGGAAUUAAUUCAUGCAAAAAUAAAUUGGGCUUUGGUGGGGGCCCAACAUCAGUGAUGUUUUCUUUAAAAAAAUAAAUUUGAGUGAAGUGAAACAUCUGUUAAUGUUGGUUUCUUACUCUAUUUAGUGACACAUGUGAUAUAUUUUGUACUCAUUAUUGUUCACUAACCCUAUUUCAUGAUAGCGUUUUUUACUUGCUGCUAAGGUAUACUCUCACUCUCACUUUGGCUAUUUUUCAUGCAUGUUUUGGCUUCCAAUGUAUGAUCAUUUUGAUAUCCAUUGAUUUCCUUACCAAUUUCCAUACUUGUUUCAUCUUAUUUAGUGCAGACCUAUUUUUAGGGGCUUAGAGGGGUGCUACGGUCUUUACCAUACCUUUCCAAUAAGUAACCUGACCAUCUUAUUUAGUGGAGCCUAGAUUUGGUUUUUCAUAGACCAUUUUUUCCAAAUAAAGAGUCACACUUAGGGUUUUCUUUCUUAUUUUGUUUUGUUUUGUUUUUUUUAAAUAAGUGGCAAUUCCAAAUCAUUUUCUAAAAAAAUAAUUUUUUUUUUCAAAUAAAAAACGAGUUUGCUAUCAAGUGGAAGCACAUGCGCAAAAUAUGGGGUCCACAAAAUGGCGAUUCCACUGAGGAUCACUAGAGGGUCAAGCUUGAACUUAAGAUGAGGCAAAUAUGGCAUUUGAUUAAGCGAUUGAUGGAUACCUUCCCUUUGUGUUUCUUUAUGCUUGAGUGAUCAUAGAAAAUAUGAGGAUUCUGAUGUGGCGAUUUUUUUUCUGUGUUUCAUUGCUAUAUCUAUUUGGGACAUUGACUUGUUGAUUAUGUUGAUUGAUUAUCUUGCCUGUCUUAACAUAGUGACUCUGGUCUUGCCAUGAUUUUUCUACUCACCUCACAUGUAUAAACUCACUAUUGUAUAUCUUUUGACUUGAUGUGUUGAUUCUAUUGCUUGUAUAUUAUCUUGAUCAUUUUUUAGUAUGUUGUCUUUAUCACUAUUCAUCUUGAUUGUCAUAGCUUAUGUGUGGACAUGGAUGGUAUAUAUGUGUUUCGCUUGACUGCUUGUUGCAUGACCAUCCUUCUUCUAUGUGAUUGCAUGUUUCUUGUUUGUGUGGGUAGCACAUCUGUCCCCUUACCUCCAACCCUCUGGUAUCGGUCUUUUCUUUAUUUUCGGUUCUUACAUUUGCAAGUGUGAGGCCUUGUGUGUGCUUGUUUACCCUACCGAGCUAGAUGUUAGGGGUAGGGUCUAACGACGGUCUAUAUAGAUGUUUGGGAGCAUUCUGGAGGAGGCUGACACAUUGAUGCUGAUUGGAGUCCGAUCUUUGAAAACCUAUAUAGCCUAGAGGUAGGUUUCAUAAAUAGUUGUGUGACCAAUGUGUUUCCUUUUCUACUUUAACUUUAUAGGAUUUUUCAGAUGCACCCACACCGCUCACUAUGCACUCUAGUUGACUAUUGAGUAUUGAGAGUUAUGAGAGCUUUCACCAUAGGAAACCCCCUGGGAUGUUGAGGUAGUGCAUGUGUGGAGGUGAUGACCACUUUGCAUGGAAGCGCACUGUCUCUUCAGAGGCAUGUAGAGGGUUAUGUACCGUUGGAGGGUAUGAUCGCUUCUACUAGGGAUCUUUUAAAGUCUACCCAUUUCCUUUUAGAGCCCCCUUAACCUUGUAAGUUGAGCCUUAGAUCCUUCGACUAGGACUCCUCCCUUACACGUGGGUGCAUUUGAGGGCCUUUAAAGCCUCUUUGGUUAUAGUUUGGGCCUUAUACUCCCUCAUUUGGUCUCCAAUUGAAAGUGCACAAAGAUCAGUACGAGUUUGAGUUACAACCAGACAGUCCUUCUACACUUUGAUGCCUUGCUCAUUUCAGUUCAGAUUAGCAUUUCUUCCGUGUUUUCCCCGUGUCAUACCCUUAUUCCAUUCUUCAUGCUUUGUAGGAUUUGCUCUUUGUUCUCAGUCUGGAUUUACCAUCUUGGGUUAGAGUAUAGGGGAAAUUAGUUCGCUUUUCUAAGAGAUCAAACAUGGAUUAGCAGGUUGUCAUAGUUGACCAGUUCACAACGGCCAUGGCCUCUAUUUAGGAGGCCUUAGCCAAUCUCAGACAGGAGAUAGGCAGUCAGCAAAGUAGACAACUCGUAGUUCAAAAUGAGAUGUCUUAUGAUUCAUUACCACCUCUACUACCACCACCUAGUCCGACAAUGCCACAGGCCCCACCCUAUCUAUUACAUGGUCAUUCUGACCUUUCCCCACCUGCAGUAGUACAGACCAUAGCCCUUGAGGAUACUCACACAUGCAUGGAUUGUAUUGAGUAGCGUAUAAGGCAGUUAAGGGUAUCUGACAGUUUAGCGACUUAGGAUGAUCUUGAGGGUAUACUAGUGGCUAGUUUACUAGCCAAGUUUGGGAUGCCCGACAUUGAGAGGUAUAAGGGUGUUGGUUGUCCUCGCAUUCACCUUCGACUUUACAUUACAAUGAUGAGGGCCCAUGGGUUAGAUGAGUCACAAAUGAUCACCCUAUUCCCAUUAUCUCUGAGUUGAGUGGCCUAGCGAUGGUUCACAUCUUUGGAUUCCUCACAAUGUAGGGCAUGGGAUGACUUAGCUUAAGAGUUUUUGCGGUAGUUUUCAUUUAAUACUGUCAUAGACGUAUUGAGGAGAGAGCUUGAGGCUUUGAGACAGAGAUCGAAUGAGUCCAUUUCUCCCUUCAUAUCUCGUUGGCAGGGAAAGAUGAUAGAGAUUGUUGAUAGACCAUCAGAGAGAGACCAAAUACAAAUGGUUUUGAGAAGUCUGCAAUCCAGGAUUGCUAGACUUUGGUUCUCUUGUUUUAGCCCUAUAUGAUGUUGAGGAUGGUAUUUCGAGAGGAUUAUGGACAAAUUAUUCCCCUACUGAUGCUAAGGAGAAGAAACCAUCAAGAUGACAGAGAUCAACUGAUGUAGGCACUAUCAUUUUUACUAGUUAGAAGUCUCCCAUGCAUCAUCAACCAAUUCCACAACAUACUAGGACUCACCCUUCUUAUCCUCCUCAAUAGUAUAGGCCACAAGCACCUCUUCAGUUGUAUAAUCAGGCUUACUUGCCUCCCACACUAGCACUGCCUUCUUAUGCCGCAUAGGGCACAAAGAGACCUUUUGCUUCAUAUCCUACCCCAGUACAACCAUGUUGUGCAACAUAGAUUACAACAAGACCUUCAGCUUCCUAUCCUAGACCUAGAGCUCCGUAGACUUCCGCUCAUUUUGCUUUGAGGAUGAAGAGACAGUUCUCGCAAUUGGGCAUGCCCUUGAGCUAGGCCCUUCCGAAGCUCACAGAGGUUGGAUUAUUGAUAACUCUUGCUCCUAGGUUGUUGCCUUAGCCUAUCCCACCGCAGUUUAGGAUGGAUUUACAUUGCACAUAUCAUUAGGGACCAAGGCAUGAGACUGACCGUUGUACUGCUUUGAGACAUGCCAUCCAAGAUUUGAUUGAUCAGGGUUUGGUUCACUUGGGUUAAUCGAGUGUAACCACUAACCCAUUAUUGGCCCAUACUACACACGUAGUUCCCCCUCCGGCCGAUGUCAUACAUUUCAUUGACUUUGUUGAGCUUGAUGAUCAUAUUCAGAUGCUGAGUUGGGAUGAGUCUGAGUCAGAGCCUAUAGUAGCAGAUGGGAUUUAUGAGGUAGGUAGAGUGACCUUAGGCAUGCUCACAUCAUUCAGAUUGGUUCCCAAUAUGUCAUCAGUACAGUCAACCACAAUUGAGCCAUUGAUUUUUCCAUGUUAUAGUGUUCAAACUCCAUUUGUUUUGAUUCUAGAUGUUGAUGAGGUCCACACUCCAGAUGUUGAUGAUGUUCAUACUCUAGAUAUACAGUAUGUUAUUCGCGAAGGUAGGGUAGCAAGACAACAACCCCCCAUAGCCGCUAGACCCUUAGAGGGUUCAACUUCUCAUGAGGAGGUUAGGAGAAAGAAUGAUGAGAUUCUGAGACAAUUGCAGAGCACCCAUGCUCGUAUAUCUAUUUGGAGCUUACUAGCAUCUUCUACCACUCAUAGAGAUGCAUUGAUUUGACCCUUGAGUUAGAUCAGGGUCGAGAUUACCACUACUCCUAAGGGGUUGAUUCACAUGAUGACAGCUGGCAGAGCCACUUGCAUUGUGUUUUCUGAUGAUGAUUUGCCACCUAAGGGUUCAAACCAUACACGUCCUUUAUACAUUUCAAUUGGUUGUUGAGGCCACCGAGUCCCAUAUGUCCUUUUGGACAAUGGCUCGACCUUGAACGUCUGCCCCUUAACUAUUGCCAUUGUCCUCGAUUAUGUGCCCUCAGACUUUGGUCCCUCUACUCAGACAGUUAGAGCAUAUGAUAGCACUAGGAAGGAGGUCAUGUGCACUUUGGAAAUUGAGUUAUUGAUGGGUCCAACCACAUUUUCUACCAUGUUCCAGGUUUUGAGGAUUCCUACAUCCUUUAACCUGCUAUUGGGCCGACCUUGGAUUCAUAGAGUUUGAACCAUUCCUUCUUCCUUUCAUCAGAAGGUGAAGUUCAUUCAUGAUGGGCAGGUCGUCACAGUGCAAUCUAUUAGAGAUAUGUUUGCUUCUUCUAAGCUAGUGCUUCAAAUCAGUCAUAGUGAGGAUGACUUAUUUUUUACUGGGUUCACGCUUGAUGAGGUGUAGACUCUUGAGAUUGAGGACUUUUGCACAAACUUCUUGGCUAUGUCAUUUGAUCGGAACAAUAGUAUAGUGGUACUUGACAUGAUGAGGAGCACGUAUUUUCUGUAUAGCAUGGGAUUAGGGCGACGUCAACAUGUGCCCAAUGAGUUUAUAGCUAUCCCUAAUCAUGAUGUACCAUUUGGGCUUGGGUUCAUCCCUACUGAGGCUAAUAAUCGAUACAUGGCAUGACUGCACAAGGAGAGGGUGAGAGCUCGAUUGACUCACACACUAUUUGACUAUCUUGUUCGCCCAUACAGCAUAAGCUUGGCGAACUACUUUGUGAGGGCACCAGAGCUACAGAUGCAUUCAGAU
RNAcentral lists this long non-coding RNA (8703 nucleotides) under Vitis vinifera (wine grape). RNAcentral describes it as "long non-coding RNA (VVIN_LNC000224)". Lineage: Eukaryota; Viridiplantae; Streptophyta; Magnoliopsida; Vitales; Vitaceae. The record is from RNAcentral.